GAUGAACGCUAGCUACAGGCUUAACACAUGCAAGUCGAGGGGCAUCAGGAAGAAAGCUUGCUUUCUUUGCUGGCGACCGGCGCACGGGUGAGUAACACGUAUCCAACCUGCCCUUUACUCGGGGAUAGCCUUUCGAAAGAAAGAUUAAUACCCGAUGGCAUAAUGAUUCCGCAUGGUUUCAUUAUUAAAGGAUUCCGGUAAAGGAUGGGGAUGCGUUCCAUUAGGUUGUUGGUGAGGUAACGGCUCACCAAGCCUUCGAUGGAUAGGGGUUCUGAGAGGAAGGUCCCCCACAUUGGAACUGAGACACGGUCCAAACUCCUACGGGAGGCAGCAGUGAGGAAUAUUGGUCAAUGGGCGUUAGCCUGAACCAGCCAAGUAGCGUGAAGGAUGAAGGCUCUAUGGGUCGUAAACUUCUUUUAUAUAAGAAUAAAGUGCAGUAUGUAUACUGUUUUGUAUGUAUUAUAUGAAUAAGGAUCGGCUAACUCCGUGCCAGCAGCCGCGGUAAUACGGAGGAUCCGAGCGUUAUCCGGAUUUAUUGGGUUUAAAGGGAGCGUAGGUGGACUGGUAAGUCAGUUGUGAAAGUUUGCGGCUCAACCGUAAAAUUGCAGUUGAUACUGUCAGUCUUGAGUACAGUAGCGGUGGGCGGAAUUCGUGGUGUAGCGGUGAAAUGCUUAGAUAUCACGAAGAACUCCGAUUGCGAAGGCAGCUCACUGGACUGCAACUGACACUGAUGCUCGAAAGUGUGGGUAUCANACAGG
RNAcentral lists this ribosomal RNA (758 nucleotides) under uncultured bacterium. RNAcentral's name for it is "bacterial SSU rRNA". It matches the Rfam family "Bacterial small subunit ribosomal RNA", at positions 28 to 776 of the family's 1533-position model. The record is from RNAcentral.